UUCUAGACACAUCCCAUCUGAUAUACAAUAUUUUCUUAAAUUGUAUAAAGAGAAAUUAUUGUAUAUCAGAUGAGAUGUGUCUGGGAU
This 87-nucleotide microRNA precursor is filed under the name Cebus imitator (Panamanian white-faced capuchin). RNAcentral describes it as "microRNA 944 (ENSCCAG00000031688.1)". The record is from RNAcentral. Lineage: Eukaryota; Metazoa; Chordata; Mammalia; Primates; Cebidae.